RNAcentral lists this ribosomal RNA (1801 nucleotides) under Campylobacter coli. RNAcentral's name for it is "partial 23S ribosomal RNA". It matches the Rfam family "Bacterial large subunit ribosomal RNA", at positions 467 to 2101 of the family's 2925-position model. The record is from RNAcentral. Lineage: Bacteria; Pseudomonadati; Campylobacterota; Epsilonproteobacteria; Campylobacterales; Campylobacteraceae.
UAAAUACUAAUACCAGAUCGAUAGUGCACAAGUACCGUGAGGGAAAGGUGAAAAGAACUGAGGUGAUCAGAGUGAAAUAGAACCUGAAACCAUUUGCUUACAAUCAUUCAGAGCCCUAUGUAGCAAUACAGGGUGAUGGACUGCCUUUUGCAUAAUGAGCCUGCGAGUUGUGGUGUCUGGCAAGGUUAAGCAAACGCGAAGCCGUAGCGAAAGCGAGUCUGAAUAGGGCGCUUAGUCAGAUGCUGCAGACCCGAAACGAAGUGAUCUAUCCAUGAGCAAGUUGAAGCUAGUGUAAGAACUAGUGGAGGACUGAACCCAUAGGCGUUGAAAAGCCCCGGGAUGACUUGUGGAUAGGGGUGAAAGGCCAAUCAAACUUCGUGAUAGCUGGUUCUCUCCGAAAUAUAUUUAGGUAUAGCGUUGUGUCGUAAUAUAAGGGGGUAGAGCACUGAAUGGGCUAGGGCAUACACCAAUGUACCAAACCCUAUCAAACUCCGAAUACCUUAUAUGUAAUCACAGCAGUCAGGCGGCGAGUGAUAAAAUCCGUCGUCAAGAGGGAAACAACCCAGACUACCAGCUAAGGUCCCUAAAUCUUACUUAAGUGGAAAACGAUGUGAAGUUACUUAAACAACCAGGAGGUUGGCUUAGAAGCAGCCAUCCUUUAAAGAAAGCGUAAUAGCUCACUGGUCUAGUGAUUUUGCGCGGAAAAUAUAACGGGGCUAAAGUAAGUACCGAAGCUGUAGACUUGCGCACAACUUAGAUUAUUUAAGUUUAGAAUAUGAGAAACUAAGUUAUAUGUUUAGUUAUAUUUUUACUGAUUUUUAUAGAGUAAAGAUAGAAAUAAAACUUAGUAAAAUCAGUAAAAAUAUUCUUAGACUAAAGUUAAGUAGUUUAAGUUGUGUGCAAGUGGUAGGAGAGCGUUCUAUUUGCGUCGAAGGUAUACCGGUAAGGAGUGCUGGAGCGAAUAGAAGUGAGCAUGCAGGCAUGAGUAGCGAUAAUUAAUGUGAGAAUCAUUAACGCCGUAAACCCAAGGUUUCCUACGCGAUGCUCGUCAUCGUAGGGUUAGUCGGGUCCUAAGUCGAGUCCGAAAGGGGUAGACGAUGGCAAAUUGGUUAAUAUUCCAAUACCAACAUUAGUGUGCGAUGGAAGGACGCUUAGGGCUAAGGGGGCUAGCGGAUGGAAGUGCUAGUCUAAGGUCGUAGGAGGUUAUACAGGCAAAUCCGUAUAACAAUACUCCGAGAACUGAAAGGCUUUUUGAAGUCUUCGGAUGGAUAGAAGAACCCCUGAUGCCAUCGAGCCAAGAAAAGUUUCUAAGUUUAGCUAAUGUUGCCCGUACCGUAAACCGACACAGGUGGGUGGGAUGAGUAUUCUAAGGCGCGUGGAAGAACUCUCUUUAAGGAACUCUGCAAAAUAGCACCGUAUCUUCGGUAUAAGGUGUGGUUCGCUUCGUAUUAGGAUUUACUCCGAAAGCGAAGAAACUUACAACAAAGAGUCCCUCCCGACUGUUUACCAAAAACACAGCACUCUGCUAACUCGUAAGAGGAUGUAUAGGGUGUGACGCCUGCCCGGUGCUCGAAGGUUAAUUGAUGGGGUUAGCAUUAGCGAAGCUCUUGAUCGAAGCCCGAGUAAACGGCGGCCGUAACUAUAACGGUCCUAAGGUAGCGAAAUUCCUUGUCGGUUAAAUACCGACCUGCAUGAAUGGCGUAACGAGAUGGGAGCUGUCUCAAAGAGGGAUCCAGUGAAAUUGUAGUGGAGGUGAAAAUUCCUCCUACCCGCGGCAAGACGGAAAGACCCCGUGGACCUU